This 386-nucleotide ribosomal RNA is filed under the name uncultured bacterium. RNAcentral describes it as "bacterial SSU rRNA". It matches the Rfam family "Bacterial small subunit ribosomal RNA", at positions 29 to 416 of the family's 1533-position model. The record is from RNAcentral.
ACGAACGCUGGCGGCGUGCUUAACACAUGCAAGUCGAGCGGUAAGGCCCUUUCGGGGGUACACGAGCGGCGAACGGGUGAGUAACACGUGGGUGACCUGCCCUCAGCUCUGGGAUAAGCCCGGGAAACUGGGUCUAAUACCGGAUAUGACUCCACGGUGCAUGUCGUGGGGUGGAAAGCCUUGUGCGGCUGAGGAUGGGCCCGCGGCCUAUCAGCUUGUUGGUGGGGUGAUGGCCUACCAAGGCGACGACGGGUAGCCGGCCUGAGAGGGCGACCGGCCACACUGGGACUGAGACACGGCCCAGACUCCUACGGGAGGCAGCAGUGGGGAAUCUUGCGCAAUGGGCGAAAGCCUGACGCAGCGACGCCGCGUGAGGGAUGACGGCC